This 2389-nucleotide ribosomal RNA is filed under the name Chaetoceros affinis. RNAcentral describes it as "partial Eukaryotic large subunit ribosomal RNA". The record is from RNAcentral. Lineage: Eukaryota; Bacillariophyta; Thalassiosirophyceae; Chaetocerotales; Chaetocerotaceae.
GUAAAGUCAGGACCACUCACUUCAGUGGAGCUGGAUAUACACACCCUAGGGGUAUGUUCUUCCAGCAACACCAUAUUCAGACACUCUGUGAGGUCUAGUUGGGUUCACGGACACUCAACCAAGCAUACUACCAGGUACAUUCCCGGUAAUGCAAUGUGCGUUCAAAAUUUUGAUGAUUCCGAAAUCGUGCAAUUCAUAUUACAUAUCGCAUUUCGCUGCGUUCUUCAUCGUUGUAGGAGCCAAGAAAUCCAUUGCUGAAAGUUGUAUUACAUUAGUAAUGAUAGAGAUAGGGGAACAGGGACACAGGCUGGUAUGCCAGGUACCCCGUCCCGCACCUAUUUCCUUUGAUUUCUGGUUUAUUUUGUAUCUAAUUUCAGUAGUGGGGUCGGCAGGUUGCAUGUACUAGCCAUGUGAGUUCAACAAGAUGUACAAGUUAGUACUCACAGGCCUAUACACACAGAGAACCACCUUUCAGUAAAAAGUUUUAUAUCAUAGGGUCGCAGGAGGUGGUGAACUCGACACGACAUGACAUGGGUCAGUCUACAGCCAGAGUCUACCACCAACCAUGCUAUUUCUCGGGAGUUGAGAUCUUAGAUCGGUGUGGUAAUGAUCCUUCCGCAGGUUCACCUACGGAAACCUUGUUACGACUUCACCUUCCUCUAAGUGAUAAGGUUCGGACAAGUUCUCGCGGUGAGUUUCCAAUAAAGGAAGCUAACUACAAUCCCGAGGCCUCACCGGAACACUCAAUCGGUAGGUGCGACGGGCGGUGUGUACAAAGGGCAGGGACGUAAUCAAUGCAGAUUGAUGAUCUGCGUUUACUAGGAAUUCCUCGUUCACGAUUAAAAGUUGCAAUAAUCGAUCCCUAUCACGAUGCACAUUACAAGAUUGCCCAGGCCUCUCGGCCAAGGUUAUAAGCUCGUUGAAUGCAUCAGUGUAACACGCGUGCGGUUCAGAACAUCUAAGGGCAUCACAGACCUGUUAUUGCCUCAAUCUUCCUAAAGUUUGAUACUUUAUGUCCCUCUAAGAAACAGCCGCCAAUGAAAGAUCAUUAACGCUAUUAUUUAGCAGGCUGAGGUCUCGUUCGUUAACGGAAUUAACCAGACAAAUCACUCCACCAACUAAGAACGGCCAUGCACCACCACCCAUAGAAUCAAGAAAGAGCUCUCAAUCUGUCAAUCCUAACUAUGUCUGGACCUGAUAAGUUUUCCCGUGUUGGGUCAAAUUAAGCCGCAGGUUCCACUCCUGGUGGUGCCCUUCCGUCAAUUUCUUUAAGUUUCAGCCUUGCGACCAUACUCCCCCCGGAACCCAAAGACUUUGAUUUCUCAUACAGUGCAGACGAGGACAAAUGUCACCCGCCCAUCCUGAGUCGGCAUAGUUUAUGGUGUAGACUACGACGGUAUCUAAUCAUCUUCGAUCCCCACACUUUCGUUCUUGAUCAAUGAAAACAUCCCUGGUAAAUGCUUUCGCAGUAGUUCGUCUUCCGUUAAUCUAAGAAUUUCACCUCUUACAACUGAAUACGAAUACCCACAACUGUCCCUAUUCAUCAUUACCACGGCGCGCAAACCAACAAAAUAGCACUGUGGUCCUAUCUUAUUAUUCCAUGCUAAUAUGUUCAACGACAUAAGUCUGCUUUGAACACUCCAAUUAACUCACAGUAAAUGAUGGGAAUCCCCAGCCCGACAACUCAAUGCCAGACAGGCUCCUCCCAAGGAUGGCCGGAGAGAGCAAGUACCCACCUUAAAGGUCGGACCGCACUCUCCCACCAGAAAUUCGACUACGAGCUUUUUAACUGCAACAACUAAAAUAUACGCUAUUGGAGCUGGAAUUACCGCGGCUGCUGGCACCAGACUUGCCCUCCAAUUGAUCCUCGAUAAGGGAUUUAAAUUGUUCUCAUUCCAAUUGCCAGACCUCGAAAGAGGCCCGGCAUUGUUAUUUAUUGUCACUACCUCUCUGUGUCAGAAUUGGGUAAUUUACGCGCCUGCUGCCUUCCUUGGAUGUGGUAGCCGUUUCUCAGGCUCCCUCUCCGGAAUCGAACCCUAAUUCCCCGUUACCCGUUGAUACCAUGGUAGGCCACUAUCCUACCAUCGAAAGUUGAUAGGGCAGAAAUUUGAAUGAACCAUCGCCGGCGCAAGGCCAUGCGAUUCGUUAAGUUAUUAUGAAUCACCAAGGAGCCCCGAAGGGCAUUGGUUUUUUAUCUAAUAAAUACACCCCUUCCGAAGUCGGGGUUUUUAGCAUGUAUUAGCUCUAGAAUUACCACGGUUAUCCAUGUAGUAAGGUACUAUCAAAUAAACGAUAACUGAUUUAAUGAGCCAUUCGCAGUUUCACAGUAUAGAUUGCUUAUACUUAGACAUGCAUGGCUUAAUCUUUGAGACAAGCAUAUGACUACUGG